AGUUAUGCUCCUGACAAAAAUUUAAUUAAAAAUUAUAUAAAAGGGGAGAUAAUUCAAAAACUAAGGUAGAUAGAGUUAUAGUUCUUGGUCACUGCACUUCUCCUAGUUGCCAUCUGUUUAUAUUUCAAGUUUCAAGUAAAUCCCUUCAGUAGAUUUAGAGUUAUGCUCCGGACAAAAAUUUACUUUAAAAUUAUAUAAAAGGGGAGAUAAUUCAAAAACUAAGGUAGAUAGAGUUGUGGUUCUUGGUAACUGCACUUCUCCUAGUUGCCAUCUGUUUAUAUUUCAAGUUUCAAGUAAAUCCUUUUUGUAGAUUUAGAGUUAUGCUCCGGACAAAAAUUUACUUUAAAAUCAUAUAAAAGGGGAGAUAAUUCAAAAACUAAGGUAGAUAGAGUUGUGGUUCUUGGUCACUGCACUUCUCCUAGUUGCCAUCUGUUUAUAUUUCAAGUUUCAAGUAAAUCCCUUCAGUAUAUUUAAAGUUAUGCUCCGGACAAAAAUUUACUUUUAAGUUAUAUAAAAGGGGAGAUAAUUCAAAAACUAAGGUAGAUAGAGUUAUGGUUCUUGGUCACUGCACUUCUCCUAGUUGCCAUCUGUUUAUUUUUUAAGUUUAAAGUAAAUCCAUUGAAUAGAUUUGAAGUUAUGCUCCAGACAAAGUUUCAGCCGGACGGACAGACAGACACGACCAAUUACUAUAUACCCUCCGAAUUUUUUUU
This is a long non-coding RNA of Dreissena polymorpha, 710 nucleotides long. RefSeq lists it as uncharacterized. Lineage: Eukaryota; Metazoa; Mollusca; Bivalvia; Myida; Dreissenidae. The record is from RefSeq and is a predicted model, not a curated record. The transcript has 2 exons.